RNAcentral lists this transfer RNA (84 nucleotides) under Necator americanus (New World hookworm). RNAcentral describes it as "tRNA-Ile". Lineage: Eukaryota; Metazoa; Nematoda; Chromadorea; Rhabditida; Ancylostomatidae. The record is from RNAcentral.
GGUCCAAUGGUUGCUGUUGGUUACACGUGGUACUUAUAAGAAUAGGCUAUGCCGAAGUCGGGAGUUCGAUCCUCCCAUGAAGCA